This 447-nucleotide ribosomal RNA is filed under the name uncultured bacterium. RNAcentral's name for it is "SSU rRNA". It matches the Rfam family "Bacterial small subunit ribosomal RNA", at positions 26 to 518 of the family's 1533-position model. The record is from RNAcentral.
AGAGCGAACGCUGGCGGCAGGCUUAACACAUGCAAGUCGAACGGAUCCUUCGGGAUUAGUGGCGGACGGGUGAGUAACACGUGGGAACGUGCCUUUUGGUUCGGAACAACUCAGGGAAACUUGAGCUAAUACCGGAUGUGCCCUUCGGGGGAAAGAUUUAUCGCCAUUAGAGCGGCCCGCGUCUGAUUAGCUAGUUGGUGAGGUAAAGGCCCACCAAGGCUACGAUCAGUAGCUGGUCUGAGAGGAUGACCAGCCACAUUGGGACUGAGACACGGCCCAAACUCCUACGGGAGGCAGCAGUGGGGAAUCUUGCGCAAUGGGCGAAAGCCUGACGCAGCCAUGCCGCGUGAAUGAUGAAGGUCUUAGGAUUGUAAAAAUUCUUUCACCGGGGACGAUAAUGACGGUACCCGGAGAAGAACGCCCGGCUAACUUCGUGCCAGCAGCCGC